AUACGCCCUGAGGGGGAAAGUGGGGGAUCGCAAGACCUCACGUUAUUCGAGCGGCCGACGUCUGAUUAGCUAGUUGGUGGGGUAAUGGCCUACCAAGGCGACGAUCAGUAACGGGUCUGAGAGGAUGAUCCGCCACACUGGAACUGAGACACGGUCCAGACUCCUACGGGAGGCAGCAGUGGGGAAUUUUGGACAAUGGGCGAAAGCCUGAUCCAGCCAUUCCGCGUGAGUGAAGAAGGCCUUCGGGUUGUAAAGCUCUUUCAGCUGGAACGAAACGGCACGCUCUAACAUAGCGUGCUAAUGACGGUACCAGCAGAAGAAGCACCGGCUAACUACGUGCCAGCAGCCGCGGUAAUACGUAGGGUGCGAGCGUUAAUCGGAAUUACUGGGCGUAAAGCGUGCGCAGGCGGAUUGUUAAGCAAGAUGUGAAAUCCCCGGGCUUAACCUGGGAAUGGCAUUUUGAACUGGCAGUCUAGAGUGUGUCAGAGGGGGGUGGAAUUCCACGUGUAGCAGUGAAAUGCGUAGAGAUGUGGAGGAACACCAAUGGCGAAGGCAGCCCCCUGGGAUAACACUGACGCUCAUGUACGAAAGCGUGGGUAGCAAACAGGAUUAGAUACCCUGGUAGUCCACGCCCUAAACGAUGUCAACUGGUUGUUGGGGGAGUGAAAUCCCUUAGUAACGAAGCUAACGCGUGAAGUUAACCGCCUGGGGAGUACGGUCGCAAGAUUAAAACUCAAAGGAAUUGACGGGGACCCGCACAAGCGGUGGAUGAUGUGGAUUAAUUCGAUGCAACGCGAAAA
RNAcentral lists this ribosomal RNA (800 nucleotides) under uncultured bacterium. RNAcentral describes it as "bacterial SSU rRNA". It matches the Rfam family "Bacterial small subunit ribosomal RNA", at positions 173 to 967 of the family's 1533-position model. The record is from RNAcentral.